AAACAAACGCUAAUGGUGGCGUAAACAUGAUCAAGAGGAGUCUUGGGCUUUCUAUCGGUCUUCAACACAAUAAUCAGGCAAAUAAUCCCGUCAAUCAUAUCAUAAUAAUCAAGAAGAAACCCUAAACGCGUAUGCCUCUCCACCACCUACACAUCUCUAUUCAAGUUUUAGUGUUACGUUGAAACGUUGCUAAUGGCUUAGGUUUGGCUGCAACUUCAUUGGAUCAAAUUCUGAAAUUCGCUUUACAAACAACAUUUGAUUGCAUUACUACCAGCAGAUUCGAGAUUGGUUAGCAAAUUGUUGAAUUUAGCUAUUAACAGUGUCGAGCUGCGGUAGUGUUGGACUGGGCAGUAAAGUGAGGUUUUCGACCCCCAACUUCAGCUAUUAACAAUGUGUACAAGAGCUUUAGCUGGGAUCACUACAGUGUCAUGCUUUAUAUUUAGCUGGGUUUGGCUUUGGUUUGUAAUUAUGUGAAGAAAUUUUGAGGAGGAAAAUGGUGGUGUGCAGUAGUGGGGUUUAGCUUAUGGAGGGACGAUGUGGUCUUGUUAAGGCUGACGAUGUUCAGUUGGAGCAACAUUGCGAGGCUAAGGCCAAGGACAGUACUUACGCAAGGUCAGUGACACCGGUUCAUCCACCAAAAUUUCCCUAAAUAUUUCCAAGCAUGGAGAAGCUUGAAUUUUUCCGUUUGAGGUUUUUAUUUAUUGGAAAUCAAAAUGCCCAACCAUGGUUGUAGCUAAGUGGUAAUGUAUCAGAGGUACAUAGUCUAGAUUUUCUAGCAGUUAGUUCGAUAAGUUCAAAACUUUAUUUUUCUAUCUUUUGAUUAUUUAUUUUUGGUGCUUCAAAUUUUGUUUUGAUUUCAUUUUUAGGUGCUUCAAAUUCUCCUGAAAUUUUUAAAUCUUGGUGUAGGCUUAAGUCUUGGGUUUAUCGAACCAUUGCUCACAAAUUGGAAAAACGCUAGCAUUAGUGCUCGAAAAUGCAUAGAUUUCCAUGCCAGAAAGAAAAAAAUAUUCCUAUAACAUGGAAUAAAGGUAGAGGUUAUAAAUGCUAUCAAAAUUAUGUUCAGUGCAAUACAUAUAUCUAUCUAUUACUGUUGUUUAUAGUUGCAGCCAUAUCCAGUACGCAGAAAUCCAAAGACAGAUUUGGAAACAAAAACGAAUUGUACACUCAAUUUGUUUGCAGUUAAGGGAGUAUAGGAAAAUUAAUUUAUUAGCCUCAAUAUGCCUUUCUACUCCACCCUUGACAACCUCUACUCAACACCGCAUUAGUCGCAUUGAUAUCAACUUUGAAAAGGGAGUAUACCAGUGCCUACAUUCUUCUUUUUAAUGUUCAUAUUUCGUGUUUUCUUUUGUUCCCUUUUUUGUUUGGCUUUGCUUUUAGUUUCAGUUUACCAUGACAUGUAGAGCUAUGUACUUAUUCUCAUUAUUGUACCAAGUACGUGCCUUACAAACGUCACAUACAGUAAGCAAAACUAACAUGUAGAGCUAUGUACUUAUUCUCAUUAUAUAAUGCCUUACAUACGUGGUAUUUUUAUAUGCUUUUGGCCAACACCUGAUAUGAUGCCUUAUGUUAGCCAUGUUAUAAUAUCUUCUGUAUAUUUUAAACCUCAAUACCUAUAGUGUUUAACUGGAGCUAUCAACAUGCAUGAUAGGUGACCUAUGUGCGUCCACUCUUUAACCAGGCAUUAUAACAAGUUCUUAAAACACUGCAUAUUGCUUUAAUCCUUAUCAGGGAUACCUGUGCUAAAGUUUUGGAGAUGAGCCUACAAAAGCUUGGUGUUGAAAAGCUCAGUAAAGAUGAUGUGCAGAAGAUGCAGUGGGAAGUUUUGGAGGCCAAGAUUGGGAGCUGGAUUCAUUUCACGAGGAUCGAUGUCAAAACCUUAUUUGCCGGACAACAUAUAAUAUCCGAUCAAAUAUUUGAAGACAUGCACUCACUCAGGACAGUUUAUUUUGCUGAAGUUAACUAAGAAAGUGUAGUUAUGCGCCUGAGUUUUGGAGAGGCUAUUUCCAAAAGUAAGAGGUCACCUGUAAAAUUGUUUGUAUUUCUUCACAUGUACAAGAUAAUGCGGGAACUUCAGUCAUAGGUCCACGUUGAAGUUAUCAACAAAUUCAUAAAAGAAAUGGCAACCAAAAAGUUUUGGGAUCAUGUAUGCUCUCAUAUCAAAUCAAAAUUCCUAAGCGAUGGUUGAAGCAAAGUCGAGCCAACACCAGAUAAAAAAUGCAUCGCAACGGGGCAGGGCAAAGCCGCACGACACCAAAUUAAAGAUGCAUCGGGACGGGGCGAGACGUACCUUCUAUUGAUCAUUGCAUUUCAUUUCAUCUCCUUUUACGUACAAGUUACAUCUAUGACGCUUUGAUAUCUCUGUAGUUAUUAGGUGUAUACAAGUUUCAUCUCAUUUUAUUAUGUAAGUGUAUGGUAAGGCUAUACCAAAUCAAAAAUUCAUGACAUGCCAAUUUUGUUAAAAGAAGAAA
Molecule: long non-coding RNA, 2468 nt
Organism: Papaver somniferum (opium poppy)
Lineage: Eukaryota; Viridiplantae; Streptophyta; Magnoliopsida; Ranunculales; Papaveraceae
Exons: 7
Source: RefSeq, a predicted model, not a curated record